Molecule: long non-coding RNA, 1063 nt
Organism: Passer domesticus (house sparrow)
Lineage: Eukaryota; Metazoa; Chordata; Aves; Passeriformes; Passeridae
Exons: 3
Source: RefSeq, a predicted model, not a curated record
GGCUGUGCUUCCACCCCUGGACAGUCAGUUCCAGGUCUUCUGGAUUUCCUUCCAAAUGGAAGCUAACAGCAUCCUCCUGCUGCCCAAGGAACAGACAAAACUGCAUUAGAAAUAUCAUUUUUGGCUUAUUGCUUGGCUUCCUUUGACUGCAGUUUGUAUUUAAGUUCCAGCAUGUCCAAAACAGCAGCGCUUGCAGGUGGUGUGACUUCAUCCAGGCCACAGUAGUCUACCAUUAGUCUCCACUCUCCGUUGGCCUUUUGCACUGAUCAUAUGGGACUGUUGAAAGGAUUUUUCUCCUGGGAAGCUGAGAAGUCUCAGAGAAAAGGAAAACAGUUCUUAUCUCAUUUGCUUUUCCUGUGUUGUGGUCAUAUAUGGAAUGUGUUUGGAGAUUGUUUUCCCACAGAUGAUUGUUUCAUUCAGGGUAUGUGACCUAUAUUUUUCCAUAGAGCUUGCUCAACUGGAAAGUUUUGUUGAUUAAUUUUAUUCUGCAUUUGUCCACGCCUAUUCCAGAUUAACAGAAGAUAAAAAGCAAGCAUCUUUCUCAGCCUUCUAAAAUGUAUCCAAAUGUCAAACAUUCAUUAUGAUUUUUAGGAAAUCAGUGUAAUAAAGACUUUUGUGAGAUCUUAUAGAGCGAGAAAAUGAUCACUAAAAUUAACAGUUCUCAGGGUCUUAUCUUUUUGUCUCCAGCUGACUGCAGACAUUCUCACACAUCUCUUCCCCUUUAGUUAUUUGUUUGUUUUUUACAAAAAGCUACGCUUCAGUAUUCAUGAAAAUCUUGCUUAGAGGAGGGGUCAGUCAGAAAGUGACAGUAUUAGAAACUCAAUAUGUAUUUUUGAACUCUCUGAUCAAUAUUAGAAAUGCAAGUGCAAUUUUCAAAUAUCUACCUUAAAUAUUCAUUUAUAAGAAAUUGAUUUACCAUGGAUUUUUUUAUUCUGGAAACUUGUUCUACUUGUUCUAGUUAUACAUAUCGGAGAUGCUAUGAUAGCUGCCAUAGAGAACAGGGAAAUACAAUAACUACAGAAAUAUUUUUUAUUUGUCUUAUGCUCCUGAAUUGAUGAAAAUU